Molecule: ribosomal RNA, 501 nt
Filed under: uncultured bacterium
Lineage: Bacteria
Description: partial 16S ribosomal RNA
Rfam family: Bacterial small subunit ribosomal RNA
Source: RNAcentral
AUUGAACGCUGGCGGCAUGCCUUACACAUGCAAGUCGAACGGCAGCACGGGUGCUUGCACCUGGUGGCGAGUGGCGAACGGGUGAGUAAUACAUCGGAACGUACCUUAUCGUGGGGGAUAACGCAGCGAAAGCUGUGCUAAUACCGCAUACGCCCUGAGGGGGAAAGCGGGGGAUCGCAAGACCUCGCGCGAUUAGAGCGGCCGAUGCCUGAUUAGCUUGUUGGUGGGGUAAAAGCCCACCAAGGCGACGAUCAGUAGCUGGUCUGAGAGGACGAUCAGACACACUGGGACGGAGACACGGCCCAGGAUCCUACGGGAGGCAGCAGUGGGGAAUUUUGGACAAUGGGGGCAACCCUGAUCCAGCAAUGCCGCGUGAGUGAAGAAGGCCUUCGGGUUGUAAAGCUCUUUUGUCAGGGAAGAAACACCGGCUCUAACACAGUCCGGGAAUGACGGUACCUGAAGAAUAAGCACCGGCUAACUACGUGCCAGCCGCCGCUGUAA